Molecule: ribosomal RNA, 309 nt
Filed under: uncultured soil bacterium
Lineage: Bacteria
Description: bacterial SSU rRNA
Rfam family: Bacterial small subunit ribosomal RNA
Source: RNAcentral
AGGACGAACGCUGGCGGCGUGCUUAACACAUGCAAGUCGAGCGGAAAGGCCCUUCGGGGUACUCGAGCGGCGAACGGGUGAGUAACACGUGGGCAACCUGCCCCUAGCUCUGGGAUAACUCCGGGAAACCGGGGCUAAUACCGGAUACGAUCUUCCAUGGCAUCUCGGAAGAUGGAAAGUUUUUCGGCUAGGGAUGGGCCCGCGGCCUAUCAGCUUGUUGGUGAGGUAACGGCCCACCAGGGCGACGACGGGUAGCCGGCCUGAGACGGGCGACCGGCCAACGACGUGGACUGAGACACGGCCCAGACU